RNAcentral lists this ribosomal RNA (354 nucleotides) under Triticum aestivum (bread wheat). RNAcentral's name for it is "partial small subunit ribosomal RNA". Lineage: Eukaryota; Viridiplantae; Streptophyta; Magnoliopsida; Poales; Poaceae. The record is from RNAcentral.
AUGGCCCUGUUUGAGGAGUUCUUCGUGGGUUCCAUUGACCUCACCAGACUGAACUUCAGAAUCAUUACCCUCAUCCCCAAAGUUACCGGGGCCUCAGAUAUCCGCCAGUUCCGGCCAAUUAUGGUGAUUAACGUCAUCUUUCGCAUCCUUGCGAAGGGGUUUGCCAUUAGGGUGGCCCCUAUUGCCGACGGGAUCACCCACCCCGACCAGUCGGCAUUCAUUCAGGGCCAAUUCAUCCUUGACGGAGUCCUGGUUUUCCAUGAAGCUCUCCAAGAGGUGCGCUCCAAACACCUCAAGGCAGUCUUCCUGAAACUGGAUUUCCACAAGGCGUAUGAUACGGUCAGUUGGCCCUUC